UGAGGAAUAUUGCGCAAUGGGGGCAACCCUGACGCAGCAACGCCGCGUGGGUGAUGAAGGCCUUCGGGUCGUAAAACCCUUUUCUGAGGGACGAGCAAGGACGGUACCUCAGGAAUAAGUCCCGGCUAACUACGUGCCAGCAGCCGCGGUAAAACGUAGGGGGCAAGCGUUAUCCGGAUUUACUGGGCGUAAAGCGCGUGCAGGCGGCUUGGUAGGUUGGACGUGAAAGCUCCUGGCUCAACUGGGAGAGGCCGUUCAAUACCGCCAGGCUUGAGGGUGGAAGAGGAGAGCGGAAUUCCCGGUGUGGUGGUGGAAUGCGUAGAUAUCGGGAGGAACACCUGUGGCGAAGGCGGCUCUCUGGUCCAUAUCUGACGCUAAGACGCGAAAGCGUGGGGAGCGAACGGGAUUAGAUACCCCGGUAGUCCACGCUGUAAACGAUGGAUGCUAGGUGUGGGUGGUAUUGACCCCAUUCGUGCCGUAGCUAACGCGUUAAGCAUCCCGCCUGGGGACUACGGCCGCAAGGUUA
Molecule: ribosomal RNA, 526 nt
Filed under: uncultured bacterium
Lineage: Bacteria
Description: bacterial SSU rRNA
Rfam family: Bacterial small subunit ribosomal RNA
Source: RNAcentral